Molecule: long non-coding RNA, 263 nt
Filed under: Panax ginseng (ginseng)
Lineage: Eukaryota; Viridiplantae; Streptophyta; Magnoliopsida; Apiales; Araliaceae
Description: long non-coding RNA (PGIN_LNC005940)
Source: RNAcentral
CUUUUUGUCUUUAUCUGCCUUCUUUCCUUUAGCGCUUACGUUAUAUCCUUUUAUCGUGCGUUAAGCCGGCUUGUUGGAACAUCAUCCCUUCCUAUCGCGAUAUUGUCCUAUGGUUACUCCUCUUUUUCCCUUCUCAUUAGUCUGCUUUGCAGGGUUAUAUUACUUUUCCUUUUGCUUCUACUAAGCGCCGAAGGGUUAGGACAAGCAAUAAGUACCCAUUUGUUAGCUCCGUCAAGAGCUAUAGCAAGUCCCUAAUACACCCU